Molecule: long non-coding RNA, 779 nt
Organism: Cyprinus carpio (common carp)
Lineage: Eukaryota; Metazoa; Chordata; Actinopteri; Cypriniformes; Cyprinidae
Source: Ensembl
AGGAAAUAUUAGGAGAAGGAACAAAUUAUAUAAUACACGAGAAAUUAUAAUUUUUUUUAAAGGAUAAAAAUAUUAUUAUUAUUAUUAUUAUUGCACCAAGUAUAUUCAACCAAGUAUUCAACCAUACUUGGUGCAACAAUAAAUAAAUAAAUAAAUAAAUAAACAAAAAUAAUAAUAAUAAUAAUAAUAAUACUCCUAUCCAGUAGGUGGUGGACAAUGCACCUUUAGUUGGUUUGCCAACCGCCAUUAAAACAGAAGAAGAAGGAGAAGAAGAGAAGGCUUGUUUUAAUAUUUCGGGGGACGUGCCUCAGUUAACUAGUCCAGAAAUCACAGCGUGCAACGCUUGAAGAAAUCGCAAUUCACGUUCGGUAUUAUUGAACACCAGCCCCUUUAAAGGUUUAACAGUGUGAAAUCACAAUCUUUCCAUACACCUCCUGGACACUUAAAUGGCCGGCUACGUUCACACUUGGGGUGUUUUAGAAGAAGAUGGAUGGGUGAGGCAGAGGGUCCAAUCGAUGGAUGCAAAUGUGUUUUUUAGGAGAGCUGAUCAGCCUUGGAGGCCGCGUGUUCUCUCUGUUCCUGCAAGCGCUGCUGUGAGUGUGAGAUACGGCAGACAGACGAGGAGAACCACAGAUGAGUUUGAUAUUCUGCUCGAAAAGCGGAUGAAGAGGAUGUGUAAGGGCAGACCAGCCUCACAGACACAGCGCUUCUCCAUGAGCUUAAGCUUCGUCUGGAGCCAUGAAGAGUGUGACGCAGACGCAGAGAGGAGGAGACACUAG